CGCGUCUUUGUGUGUGUGCGCGAAAUGCCCCCCUCCCCCUCAGUGUAUCGUUCUCUGAGCGGAUGGUUCUAUCCUUGACGCACUUAAAUUUACACCGCACUUCACCAUGCUAACAUUUUCGCCAGCAAUGCCGUUUCAUCUUUGUCUUAUCCCGACACCCAAUCACCGGGCAUCGGGAUGAGCCUGGGAGUGGAGGGUGUUCCACAGUACACUGUACUAACAUGGUUAAGCUCAGAAACGGAGAGCAAUAAGGUUGGGCGAUCGUAGCGCCGGCAUGAAAGAAGGGAAGCACGGGUAGAUGACACGCUCCAGUGUGUCCAUGGCGAAGGCGUCUCGUUGAAGUAUCGCGCUGGGCACAGCUUUCGACCUAGUCCGCGUAUCUCACGUUACCAGCGUAGUGCAUCAAUGUGUCUACUUCGACAAAAUGGAGCACCAGUGCAGAUAUCUGAGCAUACCUGUCCAGGGCAGCAAGUGUGUCUACAUUAAAACCACUACCAGCAUGUGCGGCAGUUCUAUUUCCAGCAGCGGGACUGCACAAUAAUUAUAAGGGUGCUCUCAAGCUGUUUAUCUAUGAAGCUCCGCCUGGACUGUGUGCCAAAUAUUUUUGGACGUGAAAGUGGGGGUGAAUUGGUAAACAUCAGUGGAACUGUGCCUGGACUUUGUGGCAAAUGUUUUUGGAUGUGAAAGUGUGAGUGAACUGGCAAAGAAUUUGCUCUGGGCUACAUGUGUUAAACGUUUUUCUCAUUCAGAGUGCUUUUUUUUACUUUAGGAGACUGGAGAUGUGCGCAAAGUGGGACAUGUCAGUGUGUUAAUUAAUGUAUUUGCUGGUUUGCAAAUUAUUCGUUGCAACUUUGUUUUUGCCAGAGAGGUACAACUUUGCCUCUUGUAAAGGGCUUUUUAGAUAAAACACUUACUAUUUAUUAUGACCAUUGCUUCCUUUGUUACACAAAUGCAGCUUCCAGUGCAUUCCAGUUUAUUUCCAUGUUUAUGUAAGUUUCUAAUAUGAGGCUUGCAUAUUCAUUUCUCACGUUCUGGAGUGGCAAGAUGCAGCAUUACUGUCUCAUCGUUCGCUGUACUACAGUAGUGUUCACUUGUUACACUGAAGUGUAUGAAGUAUUCUGUACUAAUUUCACUUCUUGCUUUUUUGUUGUAUGGUUAUUUUUUCUCGCCAUUACCUUCUUUGAUAUAUCCUAAAGGCAAUAUUUCCAAUUUUGCAUUGUUCCCAUUUUUUUAUUUCUGUCACAGGAAUGGUAUGCGGUGGUAUUUCUUUUUGUGCUCUUUUCAAGCUUCUAGCUGAUAGGUAACAUUGCUUGGAGGCAGUUACCAUCCGAUUCAUACUCUUGCAUUUUUCAGUCUACUUCUUCCAUUCGCUCCGAUGUCACUUCUGCAUAACUCUAGUCCAUCUAAUAGCACGUGCACUUUACUAUGAUAAAUUAGACACUUUAGUACAAUCCAGGUUUUUCUGUUCAUUUUUGCAUGUGUACUUGGAAUUUUGUUUAUGUGCUAGUGAAUGUUCACUUUCGAGUUCAUUACGAAUCCUUUCUGCGACUUUUGUCAAUGUUAAUGUACCUUUACUUCUAUUUGCAUUUCUCACACAGUUUGUUCGAACCUUGCAUAAGCAUUACAUUUAAUAAAGUGUUUUUGCUUUG
Molecule: long non-coding RNA, 1649 nt
Organism: Dermacentor andersoni
Lineage: Eukaryota; Metazoa; Arthropoda; Arachnida; Ixodida; Ixodidae
Source: RefSeq, a predicted model, not a curated record